ACAGCGGGAAGCCAGGCGGUGACGCCGAGCGGAACCGAAAGCCCCUCUCAGUUCGGAUCGGAGUCUGCAACCCGACUCCGUGAAGCUGGAUUCGCUAGUAAUCGCGCAUCAGCCAUGGCGCGGUGAAUACGUUCCCGGGCCUUGUACACACCGCCCGUCAAGCCAUGGGAGCCGGGAGCGCUUGAAGUGCGUCGCCGCGAGGCGCGCCCUAGAGCGAGACCGGUGACUGGGGCUAAGUCGUAACAAGGUAAC
This 252-nucleotide ribosomal RNA is filed under the name uncultured bacterium. RNAcentral describes it as "partial 16S ribosomal RNA". It matches the Rfam family "Bacterial small subunit ribosomal RNA", at positions 1239 to 1500 of the family's 1533-position model. The record is from RNAcentral.